Molecule: unclassified non-coding RNA, 249 nt
Filed under: uncultured fungus
Lineage: Eukaryota; Fungi
Description: partial contains 5.8S rRNA and ITS2
Source: RNAcentral
AACGCACAUUGCGCCCCUUGGUAUUCCAUGGGGCAUGCCUGUUCGAGCGUCAUUUGUUCCUACAAGCUCUGCUUGGUGUUGGGUGUUUGUCUCGCCUCUGCGCGUAGACUCGCCUCAAAACAAUUGGCAGCCGGCGUAUUGAUUUCGGAGAGUAGUACAUCUCGCUCUUUGCACUCAUAACGACGUCGUCCAAAAGUAUAUUUUUACACUCUUAAACUCGGAUCAGGUAGGGAUACCCGCUGAACUUAA